GACGAACGCUGGCGGCGUGCCUAAUACAUGCAAGUCGAACGAGAGCAACCGGUGCUUGCACUGGUCAAUCUAGUGGCGAACGGGUGAGUAACACGUGGGUAACCUGCCCAUCAGAGGGGGAUAACAUCCGGAAACGGAUGCUAAAACCGCAUAGGUCUUCGAACCGCAUGGUUUGAAGAGGAAAAGAGGCGCAAGCUUCUGCUGAUGGAUGGACCCGCGGUGCAUUAGCUAGUUGGUGAGGUAACGGCUCACCAAGGCCGUGAUGCAUAGCCGACCUGAGAGGGUGAUCGGCCACAUUGGGACUGAGACACGGCCCAAACUCCUACGGGAGGCAGCAGUAGGGAAUCUUCCGCAAUGGACGCAAGUCUGACGGAGCAACGCCGCGUGAGUGAAGAAGGUUUUCGGAUCGUAAAGCUCUGUUGUUAGGGAAGAACAAGUGCUAGAGUAACUGUUAGCGCCUUGACGGUAUCUAACCAGAAAGCCACGGCUAACUACGUG
RNAcentral lists this ribosomal RNA (498 nucleotides) under uncultured bacterium. Its description in RNAcentral is "partial 16S ribosomal RNA". It matches the Rfam family "Bacterial small subunit ribosomal RNA", at positions 28 to 507 of the family's 1533-position model. The record is from RNAcentral.